Molecule: ribosomal RNA, 385 nt
Filed under: uncultured bacterium
Lineage: Bacteria
Description: bacterial SSU rRNA
Rfam family: Bacterial small subunit ribosomal RNA
Source: RNAcentral
AUUGAACGCUGGCGGAAUGCUUUACACAUGCAAGUCGAGCGGCAGCGCGGGGGCAACCCUGGCGGCGAGCGGCGAACGGGUGAGUAACGCAUCGGAACGUACCUUGUAGUGGGGGAUAACUAUCCGAAAGGAUAGCUAAUACCGCAUACGCCCUGAGGGGGAAAGGGGGGGAUCGCAAGACCUCUCGCUACAGGAGCGGCCGAUGUCCGAUUAGCUAGUUGGUGAGGUAAAGGCUCACCAAGGCGACGAUCGGUAGCUGGUCUGAGAGGAUGAUCAGCCACACUGGGACUGAGACACGGCCCAGACUCCUACGGGAGGCAGCAGUGGGGAAUUUGGACAAUGGGGGCAACCCUGAUCCAGCCAUUCCACGUGAGUGAAGAAGGCC